RNAcentral lists this ribosomal RNA (271 nucleotides) under uncultured bacterium. RNAcentral describes it as "partial 16S ribosomal RNA". It matches the Rfam family "Bacterial small subunit ribosomal RNA", at positions 524 to 794 of the family's 1533-position model. The record is from RNAcentral.
UACGUAGGGGGCAAGCGUUGUCCGGAUUUAUUGGGCGUAAAGAGCGUGUAGGCGGCUAGGUAGGUCCGCUGUGAAAACUUGAGGCUUAACCUCGAGACGUCGGCGGAAACCAUCUGGCUAGAGUCCGGAAGAGGAGAGUGGAAUUCCUGGUGUAGCGGUGAAAUGCGUAGAUAUCGGGAAGAACACCCGUGGCUAAGGCGGCUCUCUAGUACGGUACUGACGCUGAGACGCGAAAGCGUGGGGAGCGAACAGGAUUAGAUACCCGUGUAGU